Molecule: ribosomal RNA, 492 nt
Filed under: uncultured bacterium
Lineage: Bacteria
Description: partial 16S ribosomal RNA
Rfam family: Bacterial small subunit ribosomal RNA
Source: RNAcentral
AGUGAACGCUGGCGGUAGGCCUAACACAUGCAAGUCGAACGGCAGCACAGUAAGAGCUUGCUCUUACGGGUGGCGAGUGGCGGACGGGUGAGGAGUACAUCGGAAUCUACUUUUUCGUGGGGGAUAACGUAGGGAAACUUACGCUAAUACCGCAUACGACCUACGGGUGAAAGCAGGGGAUCUUCGGACCUUGCGCGAUUGAAUGAGCCGAUGUCGGAUUAGCUAGUUGGCGGGGUAAAGGCCCACCAAGGCGACGAUCCGUAGCUGGUCUGAGAGGAUGAUCAGCCACACUGGAACUGAGACACGGUCCAGACUCCUACGGGAGGCAGCAGUGGGGAAUAUUGGACAAUGGGCGCAAGCCUGAUCCAGCCAUACCGCGUGGGUGAAGAAGGCCUUCGGGUUGUAAAGCCCUGUUGUUGGGAAAGAAAAGCAGCAGGUUAAUACCCCGCUGUUCUGACGGUACCCAAAGAAUAAGCACCGGCUAACUUCGUG